GAUUUGUCAUUUACAAAAUAUUUUUGUUUGCUUCAUUGUAUGCAUACAUAAAAAUACUAGUACACAAUAAAAUUCUGCAGUUGAUGAUUUCUUUCUGUGUGUUUGUAGGAGAAAAGCUGAAGUUAUGCUUGGGCAUGGAUUGUUCUCAUUGCUAGCUGAGAGACUCAUGCUUCAGACAAACCUAAUCACAAUGACCACAUAUAAUGUCCUCUUUGAGAUUCUCAUAGAACAGAUUUGUACUCAGGUGAUACACAAACAGCAUCCAGAUCCCGAUUCUUCAGUAAAGAUACAGAAUCCUCGUAUGUAUUUUACACACUGUAAAAAAACUUUCUCUUGUCCCUUAGAAAGGAAGUUGCUGUGUAAUACAGCUUGUUAGUUGAAUAUUUUCUUAGGGGCAGUGCUGUCAGAGUAGUUUUAUGUUGAAUGUGACAUCAAAUUGACCUUAAAUUACAUGGGUUAUAUAAAAGUUUUGAAGAAAUACGUUUAUAAGAUUUUGAUUUAGUAUACAGAUUUUAGCAAAGUUUUGUAUAUUCUGUUUGAUGAUAUUAGGCUAAAUUACAUGAACUGUGGGGGCAAUUUUCAUUUUAAAUUAAUGUCAAUUUAGGAAUAC
This 610-nucleotide long non-coding RNA is filed under the name Fukomys damarensis (Damara mole-rat). Its description in RNAcentral is "lncRNA (ENSFDAG00000021558.1)". Lineage: Eukaryota; Metazoa; Chordata; Mammalia; Rodentia; Bathyergidae. The record is from RNAcentral.